UUACGGGAGGCAGCAGUGGGGAAUCUUCCGCAAUGGACGAAAGUCUGACGGAGCAACGCCGCGUGGGUGAAGAAGGCCUUCGGGUUGUAAAGCCCUGUCUUCAGGGACGAAGGAAAUGACGGUACCUGAGGAGGAAGCCACGGCUAACUACGUGCCAGCAGCCGCGGUAAUACGUAGGUGGCAAGCGUUGUCCGGAAUCACUGGGCGUAAAGGGCGCGUAGGCGGGUUUUUAAGUCAGAUGUGAAAUAUGCGGGCUCAACCCGGAGUAUGCAUCUGAUACUGGAGAUCUUGAGUGCAGGAGAGGACAGUGGAAUUCCUAGUGUAGCGGUGAAAUGCGUAGAUAUUAGGAGGAACACCAGUGGCGAAGGCGGCUGUCUGGACUGUAACUGACGCUGAGGCGCGAAAGCGUGGGGAGCAAACAGGAUUAGAUACCCGGGUAGUCCG
RNAcentral lists this ribosomal RNA (444 nucleotides) under uncultured bacterium. Its description in RNAcentral is "bacterial SSU rRNA". It matches the Rfam family "Bacterial small subunit ribosomal RNA", at positions 339 to 797 of the family's 1533-position model. The record is from RNAcentral.